GUAGUUUGACUCCGUGGCUACAGAACGACGCUGGCGGCAUGCCUAACACAUGCAAGUCGAACGAGACCUUCGGGUCUAGUGGCGCACGGGUGCGUAACGCGUGGGAAUCUGCCCUUGGGUUCGGAAUAACAGUGAGAAAUUACUGCUAAUACCGGAUGAUGACGAAAGUCCAAAGAUUUAUCGCCCAAGGAUGAGCCCGCGUAGGAUUAGCUAGUUGGUAAGGUAAAAGCUUACCAAGGCGACGAUCCUUAGCUGGUCUGAGAGGAUGAUCAGCCACACUGGGACUGAGACACGGCCCAGACUCCUACGGGAGGCAGCAGUGGGGGAAUAUUGGACAAUGGGCGAAAGCCUGAUCCAGCAAUGCCGCGUGAGUGAUGAAGGCCUUAGGGUUGUAAAGCUCUUUUACCCGGGAUGAUAAUGACAGUACCGGGAGAAUAAGCUCCGGCUAACUCCGUG
RNAcentral lists this ribosomal RNA (456 nucleotides) under uncultured Sphingomonadaceae bacterium. RNAcentral's name for it is "bacterial SSU rRNA". It matches the Rfam family "Bacterial small subunit ribosomal RNA", at positions 9 to 507 of the family's 1533-position model. The record is from RNAcentral. Lineage: Bacteria; Pseudomonadati; Pseudomonadota; Alphaproteobacteria; Sphingomonadales; Sphingomonadaceae.